This 496-nucleotide ribosomal RNA is filed under the name uncultured bacterium. RNAcentral's name for it is "partial 16S ribosomal RNA". It matches the Rfam family "Bacterial small subunit ribosomal RNA", at positions 29 to 507 of the family's 1533-position model. The record is from RNAcentral.
AUGAACGCUGGCGGCGUGCCUAAUACAUGCCAGUCGAGCGAACGGACGAGAAGCUUGCUUCUCUGAUGUUAGCGGCGGACGGGUGAGUAACACGUGGAUAACCUACCUAUAAGACUGGGAUAACUUCGGGAAACCGGAGCUAAUACCGGAUAAUAUUUUGAACCGCAUGGUUCAAAAGUGAAAGACGGUCUUGCUGUCACUUAUAGAUGGAUCCGCGCUGCAUUAGCUAGUUGGUAAGGUAACGGCUUACCAAGGCAACGAUGCAUAGCCGACCUGAGAGGGUGAUCGGCCACACUGGAACUGAGACACGGUCCAGACUCCUACGGGAGGCAGCAGUAGGGAAUCUUCCGCAAUGGGCGAAAGCCUGACGGAGCAACGCCGCGUGAGUGAUGAAGGUCCUCGGAUCGUAAAACUCUGUUAUUAGGGAAGAACAUAUGUGUAAGUAACUGUGCACAUCUUGACGGUACCUAAUCAGAAAGCCACGGCUAACUACGUG